RNAcentral lists this ribosomal RNA (134 nucleotides) under uncultured bacterium. Its description in RNAcentral is "partial 16S ribosomal RNA". It matches the Rfam family "Bacterial small subunit ribosomal RNA", at positions 355 to 509 of the family's 1533-position model. The record is from RNAcentral.
UGGGGAAUAUUGCACAAUGGGCGAAAGCCUGAUGCAGCAACGCCGCGUGAGCGAUGAAGGCCUGGGUCGUAAAGCUCUGUCCUCAAGGAAGAUAAUGACGGUACUUGAGGAGGAAGCCCGGCUAACUACGUGCC